Long non-coding RNA from Haliotis rubra (blacklip abalone), 210 nucleotides. RefSeq lists it as uncharacterized. The record is from RefSeq and is a predicted model, not a curated record. The transcript is spliced from 3 exons. NCBI's taxonomy places the organism in Eukaryota, Metazoa, Mollusca, Gastropoda, Lepetellida, Haliotidae.
CUUGGUACAUUAAAAUUUGAAAUGUACUUUGAAGGUUUUGGCACUUACGUAUCCUCGCAGGAGGACAAUAAUUUUACAGUACCUUAACCCCCUUUGUGGAUAACAAUCUAAGUCACUUGUCUAAACUACCAAUCUUAACAAUAUAUCUAUUUACAAAACACAUUAAUCAAAAUUCAUCAAUUAAAUCAAUUUCUUUAAAAAAAACAAUAA